GCUCUUACACUGACUGUGAAAUGCAGUUGUAUGACAUGGGGGCAAAAAAACACACUGAAACAAUUAAUCAAAAAAGGGUUUGUAAAAGACCAACGUUUUUGACUUCAACAUAAGACUAAUAACGUCAAAUAACUUCAGAAUACUUUAAUGUUUGAUUUAUUAUUUCAAUGUGUUUUUUGCGCCCCAUGUCAUACAACUGAACAGGCUUAGACACUCCUAGCUGAGUG
Non-coding RNA from Xyrichtys novacula (pearly razorfish), 227 nucleotides. Lineage: Eukaryota; Metazoa; Chordata; Actinopteri; Labriformes; Labridae. The record is from the annotation of a GenBank genome assembly.